RNAcentral lists this ribosomal RNA (253 nucleotides) under uncultured bacterium. Its description in RNAcentral is "partial 16S ribosomal RNA". It matches the Rfam family "Bacterial small subunit ribosomal RNA", at positions 524 to 776 of the family's 1533-position model. The record is from RNAcentral.
UACGAAGGGGGCUAGCGUUGCUCGGAAUCACUGGGCGUAAAGCGCACGUAGGCGGAUUGCUAAGUCAGGGGUGAAAUCCUGGAGCUCAACUCCAGAACUGCCUUUGAUACUGGAGAGCUUGAGUCCGGGAGAGGUGAGUGGAACUCCGAGUGUAGAGGUGAAAUUCGUAGAUAUUCGGAAGAACACCAGUGGCGAAGGCGGCUCACUGGCCCGGUACUGACGCUGAUGUGCGAAAGCGUGGGGAGCAAACAGG